GAAAGCGUGUUCUUCUAGUUUUCGUGAAAAUAAUGAUGAACAUCGUAAAGUGGUUGAUGUGACUCCUAUUGAAUCUUUGUUUUCUAAUAUAAAUCUUAAUAAAUAUGUGUGACGCCCCCGAUUCAAUCGUGCACUAAUCAUACACGCAAAUGUGUACGAUCAAGAUCAGGGACUCACGGGAAGAUAUCACAACACAACUCUAGACACAAAAAGAAAUAAUACAAGCUUCAUAUUACAAGCUAGGGGCCUCGAGGGCUCGAAAACAAGCUCGAUACACAAGAGUCAGCGGAAGCAACAAUAUCUGAGUACAUACAUAAGUUAAACAAGACUGCCUUAAGAAGGCUAGCAUAAAAGCAACACGAUCGAAGAGGCAAGGCCUCCUGCCUGGGACCUUCUAACUACUCCUGGUCUUCGGUGGCCUCCAUGUAGUAGCAUCCAUCGGCGGUGGCAUCUGGCUCUAGGGAUCCACCAUCUGGUUGCAUCAACCAGAAAUAAGAAAGAAGGGGGAAAAGGGGGUAGCAAAGCAACCAUGAGUACUCAUCCAAAGUACUCGCAAGCAUCAGAUAUAUACUAUGUAUGCAUUGGUAUCAAAUGAAAGGUUUGUAUCUGUGGACUGAACUGCAGAAUGCCAGAAUAAGGGGGAAGACCUAGCCUAUCGAAGACUAGCAACUUCACGCAGCUCCGAGCAUCUUGCAGCAUAUAGAAGAGUAAAGAAUAGCAGUUUAUAAUUAACAAGCAUGUUGUAACAUUAAUGCCCAGAGAUUCUUCCUCGACUCCCUGCGAGAAAGCAAUCUCGGAGCCACAUAUAUCAAGUAUCCAUUUGUAGUUGUAUAAGACCAGGAUAUAAGUCUGAACGUCCGUUACCGUGGACACGGCUAUUAAUAGAUAAUCUUCCCUGUAGGGGUGCACCACGUUACCCAACGCGCUCGAUCACUCUGGCCGGACACACCUUUUUGGGGUCAAUGCCCGCCCUCGGAAAAUCAACACGUCACAGCCCGACCUAGGCUCAGCAGAGAGGUCCCCGCCGGUCUACCUCCUAAGCACUCCGGGGUCUGGGCCCAUUGCCCGUUGCACUCCGGGUCGUUGCGCGCAGGGCGGGUCCAGGCUCCACCUCUACAUGGAUGGUGCCGGCCCAGCCGUGCCGCACUGCUGAACUGGACGUCUGACAAAGCUUCGACUGAUACCACGACGUCAAGGCCCAUAUCUAUUCUCGCGUGGUGGUUAGUGCAUAAAGUCCAGAGGCCAACUCAGAACAAAUACCCAAACCAUAAUGUAUUAUUAGCUUGCGGAGACGAGCAGAGACUCACGAUCAAAAGUGACCCCGUCGCCCCGUCUCACAGACUUACGACAAGGGCUCAGAAUGCCUGGCCGUGCCACGUCAUUAUCUUGCGUGUGCUCUCCGGGCCCGCCCGACUUUCACCAAGGUCUCAAGUAAGGUCAAGGUAACCGUGUGUCCAAACAUCAAUGGGAAAACCCGAGGAAUCACCCCCGGUGGAUUCCAUUCAAUGUAAUCAUCAAGGUGAACGUAAGAGGGAUCACCCUCGAGGUCCACACUUGAGGUGUUGAACGACAGAGCUGUAUCGGGAUGAUCAAAGGGGGGGGGGGGCUUGCCUGGUUGCUCAGACAAGAAGGAGGGUCAUCGGUGACGUAGUCGAUCACAGUGGCAUCAACAGCGGUCACGGGGUCUACCGAACAGAAGAGGGGGAAGAAACAGUAAAUACAUGCAAAUACAUGCACAACAUGAAUAUAAGCGGGGCUAGAGGUGUUCUAACGCAGUGCUAGGCGUUACUGGCAAAGGGGGAAAAUCCGGGAAAGUUUUCCCGGUUACGGACGUCUGUCAGACAAAUGAACCGGAGGGGAAAAGUUGCAUGUUUGCUAUGCUAGGGAUGUGUGGCGGGCGAACGGACCGCGUAUUCGGACUCGUCUCAUCGUUCUGAGCAACUUUCGUGUAGAAAACAUUUUCAUCCGAGUUACGGUUUAUUUUCUAUCAAUUUUCAAAGUUUUAACAAUAUUCUGAAAUUAUUUUAAUUCGAAAAUAAAAGCUAAAAUGCUAGGCGCACCCAGCACAUUGUACACAAAAGUGUGGACCAAGGGGGACCCAGUUGACUAGUCAAUGUUUGACUGGUCAACAGGGGUGGGACCCCCUGUCAUUGACUCACCUAACUAAUUACUUGAUUAAUUAGGCUAACUAAUUAGUUAGUUUAACUAAACCAUUUUAAUUAAGUUAAUUAAUUAACUAAUUAAUUAGUUUAUUAUUAAUAUAUAUAUAUAUAUAUAUUCUUUUUUUAAGAAAAGGGGGGCGGUGGGGCCCUGCUGGUAGUGACCCAUCUGGCCACUGGAGAAGGCGAUUAACGGAGCAGGCGCGGGUGCUGGGGCGCCAGCCCGCUUGGGCACGCGCCCAGGGGAGACCGCCGGGAUGCGGGGCGCCGCCAGAAGCAGGGCAGCGGCCCCAUACGGGCGUGCGCUGGGGAAGGCAGCACGGGGAGGCAGCACGGGCCGGCGCUUGGCGGCGGCGCAGCCAGGCGGGGAACGACGCGGGAGAAGUGACGCGGGGCUGCGGCCGUGCGGUAGUGGGGACGACGGUGGUGGCGAGAGGGGACGGAGCUCGGGCGCGGCGCCGGCGCGGUCUCGCGCGGGCGAGGCAGGGGGUGAGGCCAGGGCGGCUCUAGACACGGCGGCGACGGAGCAGAACAACCACAAGCUCCGACGACCAUGGCAGGGACGAAAACAACAACUACGGCGACAAAUCAAGAACGGGGCGAGGGGGAAGCGGAGAAGAAGCUCACGGGGGCCUGUAGUCGUGCAAAAGCGAGCUCGGGGAUGCCGGAGAGGCUCGGGGUGGAGCGGAUCGAAGACGACCCGAGACAAAGACGAUGUGGGUGACGGAGAUGGGGACUCCCGGCUCCAAUCCGGUGGCGCAAAGGGUGAGGUAGACGACGGCGGUCCUCCAGGGCUCGUCGGCGUGGCGGGGGAGGGUCNNN
Molecule: long non-coding RNA, 2981 nt
Filed under: Triticum aestivum (bread wheat)
Lineage: Eukaryota; Viridiplantae; Streptophyta; Magnoliopsida; Poales; Poaceae
Description: long non-coding RNA (TAES_LNC027481)
Source: RNAcentral